This 720-nucleotide unclassified non-coding RNA is filed under the name Hevea brasiliensis (rubber tree). Lineage: Eukaryota; Viridiplantae; Streptophyta; Magnoliopsida; Malpighiales; Euphorbiaceae. The record is from RNAcentral.
GUAGAAGAUUUGAAUGUUUGCAAUAGAAGAAUUAAAUGUUCGCGGAAGCUUUAAAAUGAAGUUAGACUAUGAUACCAAAAUUGAUGAAGAACAAAGGGAAAGAAACAAAAAGGUGACCAAAAUUCCAGCUGGUUGAUAUUAGGUUCGAAAUCCAACCCGAGCAAAUAUGGACUUCUCACUAUUUUCUAGCAACAGAAGGGCAACUCUAGAUUCACCACAGGCCAGCAAGUAUUCUGGCAGUUGUGUGGGGCUGUUCUGAUUCCUAGAAGGUGGCUGGUGAAGGAGAAGGCUGAUCGGUACUAUUUGGUUUCUUUUGGAGACUCUAUUUCUGGUUUUGUAAUUUUUUUUUUUUAACAGUAACUAAGGAAUUUCGAGAUAAAGAAGGUGACAAUAGAAGAAUUAAAUGUUCGCGGAAGCUUUAAAAUGAAGUUAGACUAUGAUACCAAAAUUGAUGAAGAACAAAGGGAAAGAAACAAAAAGGUGACCAAAAUUCCAGCUGGUUGAUAUUAGGUUCGAAAUCCAACCCGAGCAAAUAUGGACUUCUCACUAUUUUCUAGCAACAGAAGGGCAACUCUAGAUUCACCACAGGCCAGCAAGUAUUCUGGCAGUUGUGUGGGGCUGUUCUGAUUCCUAGAAGGUGGCUGGUGAAGGAGAAGGCUGAUCGGUACUAUUUGGUUUCUUUUGGAGACUCUAUUUCUGGUUUUGUAAUUUUUUUUUUUU